GAUGAAGAACGUAGCGAAAUGCGAUACGUAAUGUGAAUUGCAGAAUUCAGUGAAUCAUCCAAUCUUUGAACGCACAUUGCGCCUGCCAGCACUCUGGCAGGCAUGCCUGUUCGAGCGUCAUUUCAACCAUCAAGCCCUAGGCUUGCGUUGGAGCCCUGCGGCUGCCGCAGGCCCCUAAAAGCAGUGGCGGGCUCGCUAUCACACCGAGUGCAGUAGAUUACUCUUCGCUCAGGGCGUGUGGCGGGUUCCAGCCGUGAAACCCCCUACUUCUCAAGGUUGACCUCGGAUCAGGUAGGAAUACCCGCUGAACUUAAGCAUAUCAAUAAGCGGAGGA
RNAcentral lists this unclassified non-coding RNA (334 nucleotides) under soil metagenome. Its description in RNAcentral is "partial contains 5.8S ribosomal RNA, internal transcribed spacer 2, and large subunit ribosomal RNA". The stretch from base 1 to 120 matches the Rfam family "5.8S ribosomal RNA", at positions 35 to 154 of the family's 154-position model. The record is from RNAcentral.